GGGUAUAUGUCUUCGGAUAUAGAGACCGGCGCACGGGUGCGUAACGCGUAUGCAAUCUACCUUUUACAGAGGGAUAGCCCAGAGAAAUUUGGAUUAAUACCUCAUAGCAUAGUGACUCGGCAUCGAGAUACUAUUAAAGUCACAACGGUAAAAGAUGAGCAUGCGUCCCAUUAGCUAGUUGGUAAGGUAACGGCUUACCAAGGCUACGAUGGGUAGGGGUCCUGAGAGGGAGAUCCCCCACACUGGUACUGAGACACGGACCAGACUCCUACGGGAGGCAGCAGUGAGGAAUAUUGGACAAUGGGCGCAAGCCUGAUCCAGCCAUGCCGCGUGCAGGAUGACGGUCCUAUGGAUUGUAAACUGCUUUUGUACGAGAAGAAACACUCCUUCGUGAAGGAGCUUGACGGUAUCGUAAGAAUAAGGAUCGGCUAACUCCGUGCCAGCAGCCGCGGUAAUACGGAGGAUCCAAGCGUUAUCCGGAAUCAUUGGGUUUAAAGGGUCCGUAGGCGGUUUAGUAAGUCAGUGGUGAAAGCCCAUCGCUCAACGGUGGAACGGCCAUUGAUACUGCUAAACUUGAAUUAUUAGGAAGUAACUAGAAUAUGUAGUGUAGCGGUGAAAUGCUUAGAGAUUACAUGGAAUACCAAUUGCGAAGGCAGGUUACUACUAAUGGAUUGACGCUGAUGG
Molecule: ribosomal RNA, 684 nt
Filed under: Flavobacterium sp. S75.05.SL.W.Kidney
Lineage: Bacteria; Pseudomonadati; Bacteroidota; Flavobacteriia; Flavobacteriales; Flavobacteriaceae
Description: bacterial SSU rRNA
Rfam family: Bacterial small subunit ribosomal RNA
Source: RNAcentral